GGCAGAAUUGUAUGACAUUUAUCUUUUAUCCAUCUCCAGUGUGUAGCACAGUGGUUGCGGCUUCUUCUUAAAAGUUGAACUAAUGAAUUAAUGAAUGAGCCAUUUGAAAUUUGUUCUCUCCUCAUGAACCAUAACAGGGUUGUUUCCCAGACAAAUUACCCAAGCUGUUGGAGCACUUGGGAUCAUAGCUUCUUCUUGGUUCUCUCCCUCCCAAGAGAAGAAGGUGAUCGGCACUAAGAUAUUUACUGUACAUCUCCAAGGAGCAGCAAAGCACAGGGGUCAGGAGGUCAGACUCUGGAACCAGACUCACACUAGAACCCUCAGGGACUAUGACUGCCGACCCACUAAAUUCUGUUCCUGGUUACAAUUCCACGGGGAACUCUCACCCUUUCUGGGACUCUUCAGAUCAACACACCAUAUGAUGAAACUGUUUCUUGUGUUUCAAAUGAACAAGAAGAAGAGAAAGGAUUCCAUAUGUUGAGGAAUAUCACAUAAGUGGGAAACCACAGUCCAGGUCCCACCACCCCUUUCUCUUAAUAACAAAAUACA
Molecule: long non-coding RNA, 549 nt
Filed under: Pan paniscus (pygmy chimpanzee)
Lineage: Eukaryota; Metazoa; Chordata; Mammalia; Primates; Hominidae
Description: lncRNA (ENSPPAG00000044166.1)
Source: RNAcentral